This is a non-coding RNA of Podarcis lilfordi (Lilford's wall lizard), 77 nucleotides long. Lineage: Eukaryota; Metazoa; Chordata; Lepidosauria; Squamata; Lacertidae. The record is from the annotation of a GenBank genome assembly.
ACAGAAGGGACAUAGCUCAAUGGUAGAGCAUCUGUCUAGCAUACAGAAGGUCUCUGGUUUAAUCCCUGGCUUCUGCA